CAGUAGCGCGGUAAUGCGUAGGGUGCGAGCGUUAAUCGGAAUUACUGGGCGUAAAGCGUGCGCAGGCGGUUGUGUAAGACAGGUGUGAAAUCCCCGGGCUUAACCUGGGAACUGCGCUUGUGACUGCACAGCUAGAGUAUGGCAGAGGGGGGUGGAAUUCCACGUGUAGCAGUGAAAUGCGUAGAGAUGUGGAGGAACACCGAUGGCGAAGGCAGCCCCCUGGGCCAAUACUGACGCUCAUGCACGAAAGCGUGGGGAGCAAACAGGAUUAGAUACCCGUGUAGUCCCUGUCUCUUAUACA
This 301-nucleotide ribosomal RNA is filed under the name uncultured bacterium. RNAcentral's name for it is "partial 16S ribosomal RNA". It matches the Rfam family "Bacterial small subunit ribosomal RNA", at positions 509 to 808 of the family's 1533-position model. The record is from RNAcentral.